This 253-nucleotide ribosomal RNA is filed under the name uncultured bacterium. RNAcentral describes it as "partial 16S ribosomal RNA". It matches the Rfam family "Bacterial small subunit ribosomal RNA", at positions 524 to 776 of the family's 1533-position model. The record is from RNAcentral.
UACGGAGGGUGCAAGCGUUAAUCGGAAUUACUGGGCGUAAAGCGCACGCAGGCGGUUGGAUAAGAUAGAAGUGAAAGCCCCGGGCUCAACCUGGGAAUUGCAUUUAAAACUGUCCAGCUAGAGUCUUGUAGAGGGGUGUAGAAUUCCAGGUGUAGCGGUGAAAUGCGUAGAGAUCUGGAGGAAUACCGGUGGCGAAUGCGGCCCCCUGGACAAAGACUGACGCUCAUGUGCGAAAGCGUGGGGAGCAAACAGG